This 56-nucleotide transfer RNA is filed under the name Semnoderes armiger. RNAcentral describes it as "tRNA-Thr". The record is from RNAcentral. Lineage: Eukaryota; Metazoa; Kinorhyncha; Cyclorhagida; Kentrorhagata; Semnoderidae.
UAUUCAUUAAAAAUAAAGGUUUUGUAAGCUUAAGAUGUAAAAUUUUACAAGAAUUU